GAUGAACGCUGGCGGCGUGCCUAAUACAUGCAAGUCGAGCGAACAGACGAGGAGCUUGCUCCUCUGACGUUAGCGGCGGACGGGUGAGUAACACGUGGAUAACCUACCUAUAAGACUGGGAUAACUUCGGGAAACCGGAGCUAAUACCGGAUAAUAUAUUGAACCGCAUGGUUCAAUAGUGAAAGACGGUUUUGCUGUCACUUAUAGAUGGAUCCGCGCCGCAUUAGCUAGUUGGUAAGGUAACGGCUUACCAAGGCAACGAUGCGUAGCCGACCUGAGAGGGUGAUCGGCAACACUGGAACUGAGCCACGGUCCAGACUCCUAAGGGAGGCAGCAGUAGGGAAUCUUCCGCAAUGGGCGAAAGCCUGACGGAGCAACGCCGCGUGAGUGAUGAAGGUCUUCGGAUCGUAAAACUCUGUUAUUAGGGAAGAACAAAUGUGUAAGUAACUAUGCACGUCUUGACGGUACCUAAUCAGAAAGCCACGGCUAACUACGUG
This 497-nucleotide ribosomal RNA is filed under the name uncultured bacterium. RNAcentral's name for it is "partial 16S ribosomal RNA". It matches the Rfam family "Bacterial small subunit ribosomal RNA", at positions 28 to 507 of the family's 1533-position model. The record is from RNAcentral.